AAGGGCNCCNCAAGAACGCGUGGAGCAUGUGGCUUAAUUUGACUCAACGCGGGAAAUNUUACCGGGUCCGGACNCNCUGAGGAUUGACAGGCAAUCAUGUGAAUUGUUUUUUUUUUUAAAUUACAUUCACAUAUAAAUAUGCUAGUCCUUUCAUGAUUAUGUGAUAGGUGGUGCAUGGCCGUUCUUAGUUCGUGGAGUGAUCUGUCUGCUUAAUUGCGUUUCAUACUGGACUUAGAAAUCAAGUGUGUUUAUUUUUCUUGUGUGUUUUUUUAUUUUUAUAAUUUAUUAUAUUUAUAAAUUUGCAUGCUAUUUAUUGAAUAAAUAGAUACACAUCUAGUCCUGAAAGCAACGAACGUGACCG
Molecule: ribosomal RNA, 361 nt
Filed under: Foraminifera environmental sample
Lineage: Eukaryota; Foraminifera
Description: partial 18S ribosomal RNA
Rfam family: Eukaryotic small subunit ribosomal RNA
Source: RNAcentral